UACAGAGGUCCCAAGCGUUGUUCGGAUUCACUGGGCGUAAAGGGUGCGUAGGUGGUGGGGUAAGUCGGAUGUGAAAGCUCGGAGCUCAACUCCGAAAUGGCAUUGGAAACUACCCUGCUAGAGGAUUGGAGGGGGGACUGGAAUACUUGGUGUAGCAGUGAAAUGCGUAGAUAUCAAGUGGAACAUCAGUGGCGAAGGCGAGUCCCUGGACAAUACCUGACACUGAGGCACGAAAGCUAGGGGAGCAAACAGG
This 253-nucleotide ribosomal RNA is filed under the name uncultured bacterium. Its description in RNAcentral is "partial 16S ribosomal RNA". It matches the Rfam family "Bacterial small subunit ribosomal RNA", at positions 524 to 776 of the family's 1533-position model. The record is from RNAcentral.